GUUGGUAGAGCUCAGUGGCAGAGCAUGUGCUUAGCAUGCACGAGGCUCUGGGUUCAAUCCCCAACGCCGCCA
RNAcentral lists this transfer RNA (72 nucleotides) under Camelus ferus (Wild Bactrian camel). It matches the Rfam family "tRNA". Rfam says of the family: Transfer RNA (tRNA) molecules are approximately 80 nucleotides in length. Their secondary structure includes four short double-helical elements and three loops (D, anti-codon, and T loops). Lineage: Eukaryota; Metazoa; Chordata; Mammalia; Artiodactyla; Camelidae. The record is from Rfam by way of RNAcentral.